GAUGAACGCUAGCGGCAGGCUUAAUACAUGCAAGUCGAGGGGCAGCAGGGGUAGCAAUACUCGCUGGCGACCGGCAAACGGGUGCGGAACACGUACAGAACCUUCCUUUAAGUGGGGAAUAGCCCAGAGAAAUUUGGAUUAAUACCCCGUAACAUUAUGAAGUGGCAUCACUUUAUAAUUAUAGAUUCAUCGCUUAAAGAUGGCUGUGCGGCUGAUUAGGUAGUUGGCGGGGUAACGGCCCACCAAGCCUGCGAUCAGUAACUGGUGUGAGAGCACGACCAGUCACACGGGCACUGAGACACGGGCCCGACUCCUACGGGAGGCAGCAGUAAGGAAUAUUGGUCAAUGGACGCAAGUCUGAACCAGCCAUGCCGCGUGGAGGAUGAAGGUCCUCUGGAUUGUAAACUUCUUUUUAUCUGGGAAGAAACCCCACGUUUUCUAAUGUGGUUGACGGUACCAGAUGAAUAAGCACCGGCUAACUCCGUGCCAGCAGCCGCA
RNAcentral lists this ribosomal RNA (498 nucleotides) under uncultured bacterium. RNAcentral's name for it is "bacterial SSU rRNA". It matches the Rfam family "Bacterial small subunit ribosomal RNA", at positions 28 to 519 of the family's 1533-position model. The record is from RNAcentral.